Molecule: long non-coding RNA, 1012 nt
Filed under: Prunus dulcis (almond)
Lineage: Eukaryota; Viridiplantae; Streptophyta; Magnoliopsida; Rosales; Rosaceae
Description: sRNA ncRNA
Source: RNAcentral
GAGGAGGUGAGUUUGGAUUAUUCAAAAAGCUACCAGUAUCUCUGUGUAUAUAAGUUGUAUGGAGGAGGAGGGGACUUUACUCUAAGACUCUCUGCAUUAUUCUUAUAUCUUUAGCUCUCUUAGUUUAAGUAUGGUUAACCAUCCAUGUCCACCCAAUGGUGACAAUGAAAAAAAAGAAAUCAUGAAGAAAAGAAAACAGCAGCUACAAACUACAAUUGACAAGCAGAUCGAUCGUGUAAAUGAACUUCAAACGAGUGCCUUCAACCUUGCAAACUACUACUUCGUCUUUCAAGGAAUUAUUUUAGGGGUUAUCGUCAGUGGUACCAGAGCGCUGCGAUGCUCAGAUCGCUGGUUCCUUUUCAGCCUCUCUCUAAUAGCAGCCAUACUCAACUUGGUUUCAUUGCUUGUAAUUGGAGGCAAUUAUAAAAGAAGCGUCAUGCGGAGAAACCGAACCAAGACUGAGCGCAAUAAAUUGGAAAGUGAUCUGGAGAAGCUAGAAACUUCACAUUCAGAUCAUGGGCUCAAAAAUAACAUAUUAUCGUACUGGAGUUCAAUAAAAAUAGAAGCUUCAGGGCAGGUUACUUGUCAAGAUCCUACAACUGUAGAAAUUAAGGAUGAACCGGAACAAAGGCAGGUUGUGCCUGUUGAUAAUUACCAAAAAAAGCUGCAUGAUUUCUACUUUCUACUUUGCAUGGGUCUGUUUAUAUGCUUUUCCGUCGUCGUGAUUGUGGGUUGCUGGACCAUUCCUUGCAAGAAAGCUCUUCAAUGCAUACCUCCCGUAUCCAACACUGAGAACUGCAUCAGGGUAUGUGAAGGUGGCAAGUGUAUGAGCAUGUGCACCGAAUACUAGAGCCUUCACCAGUUCCAGCUUUGAGCUAGCGUUAUCCAAAUAGAUUGGUACAAUAAAGUUUAUGUCGAUUGUGGUGUUUUCUUCUCAUAUAUAUUGGUACCAUUUAUGAUAUAAAGCUUACCAUAUUUUCAUGUACUAAAUAAAGUGUCACAAAUAGUCCCG